This 516-nucleotide ribosomal RNA is filed under the name Streptomyces sp. 3B40. Its description in RNAcentral is "bacterial SSU rRNA". It matches the Rfam family "Bacterial small subunit ribosomal RNA", at positions 290 to 818 of the family's 1533-position model. The record is from RNAcentral. Lineage: Bacteria; Bacillati; Actinomycetota; Actinomycetes; Kitasatosporales; Streptomycetaceae.
GCCUGAGAGGGCGACCGGCCACACUGGGACUGAGACACGGCCCAGACUCCUACGGGAGGCAGCAGUGGGGAAUAUUGCACAAUGGGCGAAAGCCUGAUGCAGCGACGCCGCGUGAGGGAUGACGGCCUUCGGGUUGUAAACCUCUUUCAGCAGGGAAGAAGCGAGAGUGACGGUACCUGCAGAAGAAGCGCCGGCUAACUACGUGCCAGCAGCCGCGGUAAUACGUAGGGCGCAAGCGUUGUCCGGAAUUAUUGGGCGUAAAGAGCUCGUAGGCGGCUUGUCGCGUCGGAUGUGAAAGCCCGGAGCUUAACUCCGGGUCUGCAUUCGAUACGGGCAGGCUAGAGUUCGGUAGGGGAGAUCGGAAUUCCUGGUGUAGCGGUGAAAUGCGCAGAUAUCAGGAGGAACACCGGUGGCGAAGGCGGAUCUCUGGGCCGAUACUGACGCUGAGGAGCGAAAGCGUGGGGAGCGAACAGGAUUAGAUACCCUGGUAGUCCACGCCGUAAACGUUGGGAACUA